CAAAUGUUAAACAACCCGAGAAUAGCAAUUUUUUAAGUAUGUAGUUAUGUGUAAAACUGUCCCAAAAUACACGCAAAAACGAUAUAUUAAUGUUGUGCAGAGACAAUUUCGAAGAAUAAAAAGAUUAUCUGAAUAAACUAUCCUGAGAAAAUAGUUAAUUCAUGUCCGAGCAAUAUGAGAUCAUGAUUAAGAAUUCACUUACUAGAUUUCAAAAGACAAAGUAUUUAACCAAUACAUCUACAAAAAAAAAACCUAACAGAUUAUCACAUCUAGGACAUGGAUCUAGGACAUGGACAAAACAUACAAAGAUUAUUAUUAUUUUAAGAAGAUGAAAGAAUUUGUUGUCUUCAUUCAAACAAGAUAAUCACAAAAGAACAUGCAUUUACAUAUUUUUCUUUUGGAACAUCAAUUUUAUUUAUGUUUUAAGUUUAACUAUAUUUAUUUUGGUGUAACAUCAGUUAUUUAUUCUAUUUUAUUGAAUCAAUCAGUGAAACUACUUAUACUAUUUCUCUUUGACAUAAGCAACUUCAAAAUAAAGUAAUACAAUGUUAUUUCUAAAUAUUAUCAAAUAGAUCAAAAUUGAAUUCAUUAGAGAAUAAAAUAUACGAACUGUAGCGACAUAAUACCACUAGUAGCUCUUAUAUAUAGCUGUUGCAAGCUACAUCCGCUAUCAGCCUUACCGAUGAUAAAAUGUAUCACUAAUUACAUAAACUACACAGUUAGUACUUAGUAGAAGAUAUCAUCAGUUAAUAACUUAAUAUGUGUCACAUGGUUAACAAUAUUACGGAACUAUUUAUUAUCCAAACAAUAGAUCAAACGUUGAAGUCGGUAAUCUAGUACUAAUAACAGACAUGUCCAAAUAAAAAUCCGACCUUUUCAUUUUAAUUUUAUUUAAUUUAUUUAAACUGGUUUAGACUGUUCCAAAUCGUUUACUAGGAUGCAAGGGUUGCUGCUUGUGGCUUGUGACAUGACAGUCGUGGCAAGGCUCGUCUAUGGGCACUGGGUGUUGAAUAAGUUGAUUGGGAUUUCCAUUUGUAUUGCUUUCGUUGUCAUGUUUUUCUUCCUAAUAUCAAGAUUUGUGCUAUGCUCCUCCUGUGUCUCUUUGUAUAUGACAUCUUCUGGGUUUUCUUCUCUGAGAGAUUGAAAAUAAUGUUUCCAAGGAACCUAUUGUGCGGUGUGAGUGCCUCAGAUUUCAUGAUGCUUGGUCUUGGUGACAUGAUUUGAACUCUCUUUGAUCUAAAAAGCUUCACAAAUACAUAUGGUAUGCACUUCCUGGGUACGCUAGCCUAUUGGCUUGGUGUCUGCUCUAGCUGCAGGUUUCUUGACCCACUCACCUCAGCCAGCUCUACUUUAUCUGGUACUUGUUUUUCUAACCGAAUUUUCGUUGAUUGAAACAUUUCAACCCAGUGCUUGUGUAGUAAAAGAAGUCUUCUUUUUUUGUAACAGUAAAAGAAGUCAUUGUUGUGUUUUUAUGAGCUUGAUCAGUGUGAAGAAUAUUUGAGAUUAUGAUGUUUAAA
Brassica napus (rape) is the source of this 1517-nucleotide long non-coding RNA. RefSeq lists it as uncharacterized. Lineage: Eukaryota; Viridiplantae; Streptophyta; Magnoliopsida; Brassicales; Brassicaceae. The record is from RefSeq and is a predicted model, not a curated record. The transcript has 2 exons.